RNAcentral lists this ribosomal RNA (835 nucleotides) under Candida albicans. RNAcentral's name for it is "LSU rRNA". It matches the Rfam family "Eukaryotic large subunit ribosomal RNA", at positions 67 to 919 of the family's 3401-position model. Lineage: Eukaryota; Fungi; Ascomycota; Pichiomycetes; Serinales; Debaryomycetaceae. The record is from RNAcentral.
AACAGGGAUUGCCUCAGUAGCGGCGAGUGAAGCGGCAAAAGCUCAAAUUUGAAAUCUGGCGUCUUUGGCGUCCGAGUUGUAAUUUGAAGAAGGUAUCUUUGGGCCCGGCUCUUGUCUAUGUUCCUUGGAACAGGACGUCACAGAGGGUGAGAAUCCCGUGCGAUGAGAUGACCCGGGUCUGUGUAAAGUUCCUUCGACGAGUCGAGUUGUUUGGGAAUGCAGCUCUAAGUGGGUGGUAAAUUCCAUCUAAAGCUAAAUAUUGGCGAGAGACCGAUAGCGAACAAGUACAGUGAUGGAAAGAUGAAAAGAACUUUGAAAAGAGAGUGAAAAAGUACGUGAAAUUGUUGAAAGGGAAGGGCUUGAGAUCAGACUUGGUAUUUUGCAUGCUGCUCUCUCGGGGGCGGCCGCUGCGGUUUACCGGGCCAGCAUCGGUUUGGAGCGGCAGGAUAAUGGCGGAGGAAUGUGGCACGGCUUCUGCUGUGUGUUAUAGCCUCUGACGAUACUGCCAGCCUAGACCGAGGACUGCGGUUUUUAACCUAGGAUGUUGGCAUAAUGAUCUUAAGUCGCCCGUCUUGAAACACGGACCAAGGAGUCUAACGUCUAUGCGAGUGUUUGGGUGUAAAACCCGUACGCGUAAUGAAAGUGAACGAAGGUGGGGGCCCAUUAGGGUGCACCAUCGACCGAUCCUGAUGUGUUCGGAUGGAUUUGAGUAAGAGCAUAGCUGUUGGGACCCGAAAGAUGGUGAACUAUGCCUGAAUAGGGUGAAGCCAGAGGAAACUCUGGUGGAGGCUCGUAGCGGUUCUGACGUGCAAAUCGAUCGUCGAAUUUGGGUAUA